CACUUGAAUAUAUAUAGGUAGGAUUCAUAAAAAAGCAACAAGCUGAGAAAAUGUUUAGAUUACAUCCAUCAGUAAUCCCAAAGCUUGCACAGGCCUUUACCACAUUCUGAAUUGAUAUUUCACUCCGUUUUCAUUUAUAUGCAGUUAGCGUUGGUGAUCGCAUUAUUUUUCAUAUGCAUACAUUUGAGAUCGCUCCUUUCUGCGUCUUCAUGGUCUGUGUUGUUGAGCGCACUUUCUAUGUAGACUCAUAAGCAUAAUAGUGCCCCCUAGCGUAUAACAGUGGAAACUCUGAACAUUUCGUGUUUGGUGGGAAAAGUUUAAAUAUUGCGGCUUUAAAUGGUUCAGAACAACUAAAAUAAAAUUAAAAAAACUUAAUCAGUCCAUAAAGUCAAAUCUAGACAAACAUUCCUUAACAACGCUUGUCUGUUUCUUAUAAAUGUCGUUUUUCUGAAAUGAAGGAAGCUCUGGAUACUCACCUCAGUAUCUGACAUCUGAACAGAUUCAUAAGUGUCCCACAAUCAUGAAAACACAGAUAUGAUCAGGGAAUUUUUAAAUCUAUAUGCUUCCAGCUCUAGAAGAUGUUAUAAAAAGAAUAAAAGUUUAAAUCUUCGAAAUGUCUUUAUCUUGGGCUGUCCUGGUUGUGAGCUUUUGGCUAAUGAUUGAUUGUUAAAUUAUUAUGAACAAUUUAUUAGUUACUGAUUAAUACCCAUACACAGUUAAUGGGUUAAUUUAUUCAUAAUAAAUAUAAAUAAUCAUUUUUUUUUAUAUUUUAGAUGCACAUUUAUUCAUAUUUGGUUAAAAUUCCCUCAUUUGGAUGGUAAUAUGAUUGGACUUUCAAAAGCACAUUGAGCAAAGUCCAAAAACAAGCCAUAUGCAAAAUAUUUCCUCUGCUAGAAGCUGUGAUUUGUGCAUGCAUUUUUGAUUAGUUUUUUGUUACAUGACCAGGACAAACGUGUUGAUCUCACGUGUGUUUGGUCCUCCAACAGCUUCACCAGUUCACUUCAUCACUGACCUCUUUUGUAGCUUGCAGUAAUAAAUUCAAUAAAACCUUCACAAACUAGAAAUAAAA
Carassius carassius (crucian carp) is the source of this 1069-nucleotide long non-coding RNA. RefSeq lists it as uncharacterized. NCBI's taxonomy places the organism in Eukaryota, Metazoa, Chordata, Actinopteri, Cypriniformes, Cyprinidae. The record is from RefSeq and is a predicted model, not a curated record. The transcript is spliced from 2 exons.